AUGACCAUCAACGCGCGCACUGUAAACAGAUUACUCUGGUCGGCGCCUGGCGCACAAACUGCGCGGAAGGCAGGGCGCGUUCCGAGGCCAUAUGCGGCAGCAGCCAGCCCGCUUCUGCUCGGUCCUUCUUCUCUUUUCUUCCCUUUUUUUCUGCGGACAUUUACACACGCCGUUCUCCGAGACUGCUGGGCGGCGGCGGAGUUUUACCAGAUGAAGAGUCGUGUUUUAUUUUCUACUCGGACCUCCUCUGAGAUCUUUGGUCCCCACGGAGCUGCACUGAAGAAGCUUGCAAUAUCACGUAACGGUGAGAUGACCAAGUUCAGGGCCUGCACGGCUGCUGCAGCUCAGCGUUAGAGCCUUGGAUCAAUGGAAUACUGUUGGGGAUACAGCGGACCACACCCACACGCCGACCAAACCCGCUCAUUGGAUAUCGUAUGGACGUCUUGACCACUGCCGUGGCUCUCAUGCAAAUGGAGGAGGUAAUUUCAGUCCUUUAAGUGAAAUUUGAUUUGUGUUGAGAGCUCUUGUUACUUUUUCUUAAUGUAAAAUGGUUUUGAUUAAUAGUGUGGGAGUCCGUGGAGAAAUGUUAUCAAGUGUAGCAGUCAAAUGAAUAUCUCUUCCACUGGAUUAGCGCUGCUACUGUUUGCCAUUUGAGGCAGAACAGCUGCGAUCUUCAAUACGUCCCACUUGGACACACACAUUUAUAUGACACUUAUUCCUUUCCACCUCUCAAAGCCUCUCUUGAACGCUCUGCUGCAACCAAGGAGGAGCUUUGUUUUCAGCUUUGGACGGCUAACACCGAAACAAGCAAUUCCGCACGCUACUAUUUUAAAGAGCGACAGCAUGUCACACCUAAAACAAACAAUUCACUUUUAAGGUCUUAUACUACAAUAUUUAAUAAUUGCCAGACGAGGCAAAAAGCUACCCAUGGAUUUCAAUAGCUAAGUUAGAUCUUUUACUCAAUAAAAGAAAAUAUAUAGAAUUAAUGUGCAUGUAUAGGAAGCACGCCCUUCCCCACAGCCAGCGCUGUCCAAUGAGUGUACCGGCCCGAUCUAUUCAGUCCAAAAAGGAGAAUAUAACAUACAGUAGGACACACCCUAUGAACUAAAAAUACAAGCACACAAAGACGCUUAUCAGUAAAAGGGCCUUUACUAUUGUAUCCACAUACCCUGUCGCUGGUACGUGCUCCUCUAAAUGUCUUCGACACUUCACCUCACCUACUCGGAGCGGCGGCGGCUCUGCGCCCUGACAAAAUGAAAAACAAUCUGAGGAAGCAGGGAACAAUCCGAGGCAGGCUCCAGCGGGCUGCCAUAAAAAAGAGGGGCUGCCUCUCCAGCCUCUCUCCCUCAUGCCUUCAGCUUUAACUCUAUGGGCUGAUGAAAGAUCAAUGGGCCGGCUGGGCCGCCGCCGCCGCCACCGCCGCCGCCGCGCCUGCUGUCCGCCGCUGUGCCGAGAAGAGAGCCAAUUACAAAACACCAGAAGCAAAUCGGGGGAAGAAUGCAAAAAACUUUGGCCUUUACAAAUGCUAACUCGGUUAUUAGUAAAAUGGUUUGUCGAGUGUGUGCGCGCGUGUGUGUAUGUGUCUGUGUAUUUGUAAUGUACACACUGUACAAAUAGG
Molecule: long non-coding RNA, 1618 nt
Filed under: Takifugu rubripes (torafugu)
Lineage: Eukaryota; Metazoa; Chordata; Actinopteri; Tetraodontiformes; Tetraodontidae
Description: lncRNA (ENSTRUG00000032202.1)
Source: RNAcentral